UAAUAAUCCUCCUGAUCCAUAGAUUGUGAUAGGAACGUUGAUGCCUAUACAACACCAUCAUCAUAUAACCAAACUAGCUUUCAGGAUUGAUUACUACUUGCUAGCUUAGGAUUGGAUUUUCUUUGCUAGAUGGUGUUGUAUUGUGAUUUUAAAUUUCAGAUGUUGUAGUACU
Zingiber officinale is the source of this 172-nucleotide long non-coding RNA. RefSeq lists it as uncharacterized. The transcript has 3 exons. The record is from RefSeq and is a predicted model, not a curated record. Lineage: Eukaryota; Viridiplantae; Streptophyta; Magnoliopsida; Zingiberales; Zingiberaceae.